AACAGGAUUAGAUACCCUGGUAGUCCACGCCGUAAACGAUGUCGACUUGGAGGUUGUUCCCUUGAGGAGUGGCUUCCGGAGCUAACGCGUUAAGUCGACCGCCUGGGGAGUACGGCCGCAAGGUUAAAACUCAAAUGAAUUGACGGGGGCCCGCACAAGCGGUGGAGCAUGUGGUUUAAUUCGAUGCAACGCGAAGAACCUUACCUACUCUUGACAUCCACGGAAUUCGGCAGAGAUGCCUUAGUGCCUUCGGGAACCGUGAGACAGGUGCUGCAUGGCUGUCGUCAGCUCGUGUUGUGAAAUGUUGGGUUAAGUCCCGCAACGAGCGCAACCCUUAUCCUUUGUUGCCAGCGAUUCGGUCGGGAACUCAAAGGAGACUGCCGGUGAUAAACCGGAGGAAGGUGGGGAUGACGUCAAGUCAUCAUGGCCCUUACGAGUAGGGCUACACACGUGCUACAAUGGCGCAUACAAAGAGAAGCGACCUCGCGAGAGCAAGCGGACCUCACAAAGUGCGUCGUAGUCCGGAUCGGAGUCCGCAACUCGACUCCGUGAAGUCGGAAUCGCUAGUAAUCGUGGAUCAGAAUGCCACGGUGAAUACGUUCCCGGGCCUUGUACACACCGCCCGUCACACCAUGGGAGUGGGUUGCAAAAGAAGUAGGUAGCUUAACCUUCGGGAGGGCGCUUACCACUUUGUGAUUCAUGACUGGGGUGAAGUCGUAACAAGGUAACC
This 730-nucleotide ribosomal RNA is filed under the name uncultured bacterium. RNAcentral describes it as "bacterial SSU rRNA". It matches the Rfam family "Bacterial small subunit ribosomal RNA", at positions 771 to 1501 of the family's 1533-position model. The record is from RNAcentral.